This 375-nucleotide ribosomal RNA is filed under the name Otostigmus scaber. RNAcentral's name for it is "partial large subunit ribosomal RNA". It matches the Rfam family "Eukaryotic large subunit ribosomal RNA", at positions 663 to 947 of the family's 3401-position model. The record is from RNAcentral. Lineage: Eukaryota; Metazoa; Arthropoda; Chilopoda; Scolopendromorpha; Scolopendridae.
GGACCAAGGAGUCUAACACGUGCGCAAGUCACAGGGCAAACUUGCAGAAAUGACACUAAACCCUAAGGCGUAAUGAAAGUGAAGGUCAGGCACAGCACUGACCGAGGCAGGAUCCGUCCGAGUGAGCGAAGCUCUUGUCCCUUUGCGGGUUUCAAACCCCGCGGGGGAGCUCGGCGGCGCACUGCCGGCCCAUCUCGACCGCUUCUCGUCGGCGAGGUGGAGCAAGAGCGCACACGUUGGGACCCGAAAGAUGGUGAACUAUGCUCGGGCAGGACGAAGCCAGAGGAAACUCUGGUGGAGGUCCGUAGCGAUUCUGACGUGCAAAUCGAUCGUCGGACCCGAGUAUAGGGGCGAAAGACUAAUCGAACCGUCUAG